ACGAACGCUGGCGGCGUGCCUAACACAUGCAAGUCGAACGAGAAGUACGUAGCAAUACGUAUUGUAAAGUGGCGCACGGGUGAGUAACACGUGGGUAAUCUGCCCUUGAGUUUGGGAUAACCCCGCGAAAGCGGGGCUAAUACCGAAUAAGACCACGGGGACCAAAGUCCCUGAGGUAAAAGGUGGCCUCUAUUUAUAAGCUACCACUUGAGGAUGAGCCCGCGGCCCAUUAGCUAGUUGGCAGGGUAAUGGCCUACCAAGGCAAUGAUGGGUAGCUGGUCUGAGAGGACGAUCAGCCACACUGGAACUGAGACACGGUCCAGACUCCUACGGGAGGCAGCAGUGGGGAAUAUUGCGCAAUGGGCGAAAGCCUGACGCAGCAACGCCGCGUGGGGGAUGAAGGUUCUCGGAUUGUAAACCCCUUUCGAUCGGAACGAAUCCCCUCCUGGUAAAUAAUCAGGAGGAUCGACGGUACCGAGAGAAGAAGCCACGGCUAACUCUGUGCCAGCAGCCGCGGUAAGACAGAGGUGGCGAGCGUUGUUCGGAUUUAUUGGGCGUAAAGCGAACGCAGGUGGUUUGGUAAGUCAGGGGUGAAAGACCACAGCUUAACUGUGGCAUUGCUUUUGAUACUGCCUUUCUUGAGUAGAGUAGGGGGAAGCGGAAUUCCGAGUGUAGAGGUGAAAUUCGUAGAUAUUCGGAGGAACACCGGUGGCGAAGGCGGCUUCCUGGACUCUAACUGACACUCAUGUUCGAAAGCGUGGGGAGCAAACAGGAUUAGAUACCCUGGUAGUCCACGCCCUAAACGAUGGGCACUAGGUGUGGGAGGUAUCGACCCCUUUCGUGCCGCAGCUAACGCAUUAAGUGCCCCGCCUGGGGAGUACGG
RNAcentral lists this ribosomal RNA (883 nucleotides) under uncultured bacterium. Its description in RNAcentral is "bacterial SSU rRNA". It matches the Rfam family "Bacterial small subunit ribosomal RNA", at positions 29 to 885 of the family's 1533-position model. The record is from RNAcentral.